UCACCAUGACAUCGUUUAUACUUGAGUUUAGUAAUUUAGCAUUUUAAUUAUGCCUUUAUAUCGCAGUCAUUAUUGCUAUUAUUAUUGUACUUACCCUUUUCUUUUGGGGCCUAGUGGUGCAUAGAGCGGAGGUCAGUAAUUGCCCACUGGGAACUACAAAUUAUAGUUCUCACACCCUCUUUUUCUCGAUGUUUUUCAGAGCCUUCCACGCAGGGAGAGGCCAGGGAUCGCGGAAAGGGUAUCGCCUCGGGCUAGCGCGCUUACCGAGGGAUCGUUCGAUAGGUGGUCUACCUCUCGUGUUUUCUUUUUGUGAGAGGUUGAGAGUUGUACCCGUAUAUGUAUAGAGACCACCAUUUUUGUACUAGAGACGGUUAUUGUACUACUUAUGGUUAUCUUUGUUUGACUAGCUUUAUUUUCUUUACUUUGGUGUAGAUGAUAGAACCUUACUUGCUCUGAUAUCAUUAGUUGCUAGUUAUUUCACUACUUUUAUUUGUUCUAUCUCCUGCUUUACUUCCGCUUUUGUUGUAGACGCCUUAUAUGUGUAGACAUAUGGCGG
This 556-nucleotide long non-coding RNA is filed under the name Ananas comosus (pineapple). Its description in RNAcentral is "long non-coding RNA (ACOM_LNC038258)". Lineage: Eukaryota; Viridiplantae; Streptophyta; Magnoliopsida; Poales; Bromeliaceae. The record is from RNAcentral.